GGAGAUAUUGCACAUUACUAAGUUGCAGGUUGCCUCAUUGCAAUUUAGAAUGUGUGAUAUUUUC
Molecule: non-coding RNA, 64 nt
Organism: Xenopus laevis (African clawed frog)
Lineage: Eukaryota; Metazoa; Chordata; Amphibia; Anura; Pipidae
Source: Rfam